Molecule: ribosomal RNA, 495 nt
Filed under: bacterium enrichment culture clone 17
Lineage: Bacteria
Description: bacterial SSU rRNA
Rfam family: Bacterial small subunit ribosomal RNA
Source: RNAcentral
AGAGUUUGAUCAUGGCUAGGAUGAACGUUGGCGGUGUGCCUAAUACAUGCAAGUCGAACGGAGUUAGUAGCAAUACUGGCUCAGUGGCGAACGGGUGAGUAACGCGUUGGUGAUCUGCCUUGAAGUGUGGAAUAACGUUUCGAAAGGAACGCUAAUACCGCAUGUGCUCUCGAUUUUCAGAAAGUUGAGAGUAAAGGAUUUAUUCGCUUCAAGAGGAGCCUGCGUCCCAUCAGCUGGUUGGUAGGGUAACGGCCUACCAAGGCUAUGACGGGUAGGGGACCUGAGAGGGUGGCCCCCCACAAUGGAACUGAAACACGGUCCAUACACCUACGGGUGGCAGCAGUAGGGAAUAUUAGAAAUGGACGAAAGUCUGAUCUAGCAACACCGCGUGUGCGAAGAAGGCCUUCGGGUCGUAAAGCACUUUUGGAAGGAAUAGGAAGGAAUGUACUUCCAGAAUAAGUCUCGGCUAACUACGUGCCAGCAGCCGCGGUAAUA